GUUUGAUCCUGGCUCAGGUCAGACGCUGGCGGGAUGCUUUACAUGCAAGUCGAACGGCAGCACGGACUUCGGUCUGGUGGCGAGUGGCGAACGGGUGGUAAUGUAUCGGAACGUGCCUAGUAGCCAGGGAUAACUACGCGAAAGCGUAGCUAAUACCGCAUACGCCCUUCGGGGAAAGCGGGGGACCUUCGGGCCUCGCACUAUUAGGCAGCCCGAUAUCGGAUUGAAAGCUAGUUGGUGGAGUAACGGCUCACCAAGGCGACGAUCCGUAGCUGGUUUGAGAGGACGACCAGCCACACUGGGACUGAGACACACGGCCAGACUCCUACAGGAAGCAGCAGUGGGGUUUUUGGACAAUGGAAACCACAGUCCAGCCAUCCCGCGUGUGCGAUGAGGCCUUCGGGUUGUAAAGCACUUUUGGCAGGAAAGAAACGGCACGGGAUAAUACCCGUGCAACUGACAGUACCUGCAGAAUAAGCACCGGCUAACUACGUGCCAGCAGCCGCGGUAAUACGUAGGGUGCAAGCGUUAAUCGGAAUUACUGGGCGUAAAGCGUGCGCGAGCGGUUCGGAAAGAAAAGAUCGCGAAAUGCUCAGCAGUAUCCCAGAGCUUAACUUUGGAACUGCGUUUUUAACUACCGAGCUGAGUGUGUCAGAGGGAGGUGAUGGAAUUCCGCGUGUAGCAGUGAAAUGCGUAGAUAUGCGGAGGAACACCGAUGGCGAAGGCAGCCUCCUGGGAUAACGACGCUCAUGCAAGCGUGCAGGAGGCAAACAGGAUUAGAUACCCUGGUAGUCCACGCCUAAACGAUGUCCAACUAGCUGUUGGGCCUUCGGGCCUUGAAAUCAGCGCAAUAACGCGUGAAGUUGACCGCCUGGGAGGUACGGUCGCAAGAUUAAAACUCAAAGGAAUUGACGGGGACCCGCACAAGCGGUGGAUGAUGUGGAUUAAUUCGCAACGCAACCUACCCUUGACAUGUCUGGAAUCCCGAAGAGAUUUGGGAGUGCUCGCAAAGAGAACCGGAACACAGGUGCUGCAUGGCUGUCGUCCGUCGUGUCGUGAGAUGUUGGGUUAAGUCCCGCAACGAGCGCAACCCUUGUCAUUAGUUGCUACGAAAGGGCACUCUAAUGAGACUGCCGGUGACAAACCGGAGGAAGGUGGGGAUGACGUCAAGUCCUCAUGGCCCUUAUGGGUAGGGCUUCACACGUCAUACAAUGGUCACUGGGACAGAGGGUCGCCAACCCGCGAGGGGAGCCAAUCCCAGAAACCCGAUCGUAGUCCGGAUCACCGGUCUGCAACUCGACUGCGUGAAGUCCGGAAUCGCUAGUAAUCGCGGAUCAGCAUGUCGCGGUGAAUACGUUCAGGUCUUGUACACACCGCCCCGUCACACCAUGGGAGUGGGUUUACCACAAGUAGUUAGCCUAACCGUAAGGAGGGCGAUUACCACGGUAGGAUUCAUGACUGGGGUGAAGUCGUAACAAAGGUAG
This 1484-nucleotide ribosomal RNA is filed under the name uncultured Bordetella sp. Its description in RNAcentral is "partial 16S-23S ribosomal RNA intergenic spacer". It matches the Rfam family "Bacterial small subunit ribosomal RNA". The record is from RNAcentral. Lineage: Bacteria; Pseudomonadati; Pseudomonadota; Betaproteobacteria; Burkholderiales; Alcaligenaceae.